This 373-nucleotide long non-coding RNA is filed under the name Hordeum vulgare. RNAcentral's name for it is "long non-coding RNA (HVUL_LNC021550)". The record is from RNAcentral. Lineage: Eukaryota; Viridiplantae; Streptophyta; Magnoliopsida; Poales; Poaceae.
CCUAUUGAUGCACAUGGACAUGAUGACUCUCUAACGUUUAUGGACCAACCAACAUGUAAUCAUGGACCUUAUUGUCUUGUAGACCAUUUGGUGUUUCGAGUGUUUUGGAGCUUGCACUUUGUGCAUGUAGAUACAAACUUGUGUGUUCUGGACCAUCUGAGGUCUCUCAUAGUAACCAAUAGUCCUUAUAUUUUUGUGACUUGUGUGUUCUAGAUGAUUGUUAAGAUGGUCAAAACUAUGCUUCCUCUAGGUUAAUUUGUUUGUCAACUUACGUUCAAUGUAUGUGCAUGUUUAUAAACAUAUUUUCAUUGUGCUGUAAUAUGUGUUUAUCUUGAACCUUCUUGUGGGUGUGAGGAUACUAAUUGAAUAUUUU